GUCAAAUUAAACAAAAAGUGAAACUAAAAACAAAUAAAGCAAAAAGAAAAACAAAACAGAGUCAUUAGGUAAGACCAGCCAUAAAAAGAUUGGAAAAAAUGAACUUCAUGAGAAUCUCAAGAGAAGUUGAGAAAAGAAAUCUACUAUCUCCACUUCUCAUGCACCAGCGACUCAGACAUGAAUUUGCACCGUCACGUCCUAUUGUUUCAAAUGGAUGCCAGUACUCUCCCUUAAGAUUCGAUGAAUUGAUCGCAGCACCACCACUGGCCAUGCAUCUGACCUUCAAAAGCCAUGUAACUCUGCCAUCAACCUUGCCAAGCGGAGCCAAGCCCUGGAUUAAUCGGCA
Molecule: long non-coding RNA, 346 nt
Organism: Hemibagrus wyckioides
Lineage: Eukaryota; Metazoa; Chordata; Actinopteri; Siluriformes; Bagridae
Exons: 4
Source: RefSeq, a predicted model, not a curated record